AAAGCUCCCUUCGGGGAGCAAGUAGAGUGGCGCACGGGUGAGUAACACGUAGGUAAUCUACCUUUGGAUGGGGAAUAACACCGAGAAAUCGGUGCUAAUACCGCAUAAUGCAGCGGCACCUAAUGGUGACAGUUGUUAAAGCGGGGGAUCGCAAGACCUCGCGUCUAAAGAGGAGCCUGCGGCGGAUUAGCUAGUUGGUAAGGUAACGGCUUACCAAGGCGAUGAUCCGUAACCGGCCUGAGAGGGCGGUCGGUCACACUGACACUGACAUACGGGUCAGACUCCUACGGGAGGCAGCAGUCGGGAAUUUUGGGCAAUGGGCGAAAGCCUGACCCAGCAACGCCGCGUGAAGGAUGAAAUCCCUCGGGAUGUAAACUUCGCAAGAACGGGAAGAAUAAGUUGGUGUGAAUAUCACCAGCGAUGACGGUACCGUUUGUAAGCUCCGGCUAACUCCGUGCCAGCAGCCGCGGUAAUACGGGGGGAGCAAGCGUUGUUCGGAUUUACUGGGCGUAAAGGGCGGGUAGGCGGCCACCGCAAGUCAGUUGUGAAAUCUCUGGGCUUAACCCAGAAAGGUCAACUGAUACUGCGGGGCUAGAGUGCAGAAGGGGCAACUGGAAUUCUCGGUGUAGCGGUGAAAUGCGUAGAUAUCGAGAGGAACACCUGCGGCGAAGGCGGGUUGCUGGGCUGACACUGACGCUGAACUGCGAAAGCUAGGGGAGCGAACGGGAUUAGAUACCCCGGUAGUCCUAGCCUUAAACGAUGAAUGCUUGGUGUCUGGGGUUUUAUAGUCCCCGGGUGCCGUCGCUAACGCUUUAAGCAUUCCGCCUGGGGAGUACGGUCGCAAGACUG
RNAcentral lists this ribosomal RNA (849 nucleotides) under uncultured Actinomycetes bacterium. RNAcentral's name for it is "bacterial SSU rRNA". It matches the Rfam family "Bacterial small subunit ribosomal RNA", at positions 70 to 896 of the family's 1533-position model. Lineage: Bacteria; Bacillati; Actinomycetota; Actinomycetes. The record is from RNAcentral.